Molecule: ribosomal RNA, 582 nt
Filed under: Triticum aestivum (bread wheat)
Lineage: Eukaryota; Viridiplantae; Streptophyta; Magnoliopsida; Poales; Poaceae
Description: partial small subunit ribosomal RNA
Source: RNAcentral
AUGUCUGUCGAGCUGCUGACGAAAUUCCUCACGGUUCUGUUCGGGUAUGCCAUGCCGGCGUUGGAGUGCUUCAAGGCGGUCGAGCAGCGGACCGGGCGGACCGAUCAGCUCCGGUUUUGGUGCCAGUAUUGGAUCAUACUAGUCAUCCUGGUCAUAUUCGACGAAAUCGCAGGCGCCCUAAUAUCGAGGAUUCCGAUGUACUAUGAAGUCAAGCUCGCCUUCCUCGUCUACCUCUGGUACCCACAGACAAGGGGGUCUGACAUCGUGUACGAGAACUUCGUGCGGCCGCUGGUGAUGCAGUACGAGCCCAACAUCGAGGAGAGGCUGCGGUACCUGCGGGCCAACGCCGGCGACCUCAUCGUCUUCUACCUCAAGAACUUCACCGACAGGGGAUACGAGCUCUUCCUCCGGGUCCUUGACUUCGCUCGGUCGCAGGCGUCCAGUGGCUCAAGGACAAGGAGGUUCUUCUCGUUCCGAGGGGACCGGGCUGAGAGGCCGAGCUUCGUCGACGACGACUACGUCCACGGCAGCGAUCGGAGGAGCGCGGCCAGGCAGCGGCGACCCCGCGGUGCUGAUUACUAG